Molecule: non-coding RNA, 100 nt
Organism: Acanthosepion pharaonis
Lineage: Eukaryota; Metazoa; Mollusca; Cephalopoda; Sepiida; Sepiidae
Source: the annotation of a GenBank genome assembly
CACUUUGAAACACCCGUUCAUGUACGAUCACCGAAGUUAAGCAACCUCGAGCCUGGUUAGUACUUAGAGGGGUGACCACUUGAGAAUACCAGGUCUUGUG